UUGUAUUUAGAGCUAUAUAUUAAUUUGAUGUUGAAGCUGAAAUUCAGGAACUUAAUAUAAUAGGUGAGGUUUUAGAUAAUCCUAACAAGUCUCAUCCAGCAGUAGCAGAGAAAAUAGGUGUUGAGAAAACCAGAGUUUUAAAAACGCUUUAAAAGCACAAAUUUAAAUCCUACAGGGUUAGGAAAGUUCAUCACCUUCAGGAUGGCGACUUUCAGAGAAGAAUUGCAUUUUGUGAUUGAUGAAAGCCGAAUAGACACUUCAGGAAUAUAUAAUAGGUAUAAUUCCUAUUACUGGCCUACAGAAAACCCCCAUGUUGUAGUAAGCGCGAACAGACAGGGACGGCUGGGCUUCAAUAUUUGGGAUGGAAUUUUUCGAGGUAAAAAUUAUUUACAUCGCCGAUCCAGACCCACCAUCAUUCCCUUCGUUUUGCCUGGCAUUUUCCGCCUGGAACGCCUGUUGUUGCUGAAGAAAUUUAGCUGCUGCCGGGAAACCUUGCAAAUCGAAACCUGGGGGA
This is a long non-coding RNA of Anthonomus grandis grandis, 514 nucleotides long. RefSeq lists it as uncharacterized. Lineage: Eukaryota; Metazoa; Arthropoda; Insecta; Coleoptera; Curculionidae. The transcript has 3 exons. The record is from RefSeq and is a predicted model, not a curated record.